GGAGUUAGCCGGUGCUUCUUCUGUGAGUGAUGUCCUUCCUGCCGGCUAUUAACCCGCAGGCCUUCUUCCUCACUGAAAGUGCUUUACAACCCGAAGGCCUUCUUCACACACGCGGCAUGGCUGGAUCAGGGUUGCCCCCAUUGUCCAAUAUUCCCCACUGCUGCCUCCCGUAGGAGUCUGGGCCGUGUCUCAGUCCCAGUGUGGCUGAUCAUCCUCUCAGACCAGCUACGGAUCGUCGCCUUGGUGAGCCGUUACCUCACCAACCAGCUAAUCCGACAUAGGCUCAUCCGAUAGCGCGAGGCCCGAAGGUCCCCCGCUUUCCCCCGUAGGGCGUAUGCGGUAUUAGCCUGGGUUUCCCCCAGGUUAUCCCCCACUACCGGGCAGAUUCCUAUGCAUUACUCACCCGUCCGCCGCUCGCCACCAGGGAGCAAGCUCCCCGUGCUGCCGCUCGACUUGCAUGUGUUAGGCCUGCCGCCAGCGUUCAAUCUGAGCCAUGAUCAAACUCUGA
RNAcentral lists this ribosomal RNA (508 nucleotides) under uncultured bacterium. Its description in RNAcentral is "partial 16S ribosomal RNA". The record is from RNAcentral.